RNAcentral lists this ribosomal RNA (97 nucleotides) under Bacteroidetes bacterium ADurb.Bin035. The record is from RNAcentral. Lineage: Bacteria; Pseudomonadati; Bacteroidota.
UGGUGGCUAUAGCAGUGGUGUUCACCUCUUACCAUUCCGAACAGAGUCGUUAAGCCCACUAGCGCCGAUGGUACUGCUAUGGCGGGAGAGUAGGUCG